RNAcentral lists this ribosomal RNA (818 nucleotides) under uncultured bacterium. Its description in RNAcentral is "bacterial SSU rRNA". It matches the Rfam family "Bacterial small subunit ribosomal RNA", at positions 61 to 868 of the family's 1533-position model. The record is from RNAcentral.
GUCGAGGGGCAGCGGGGUUGUAGCAAUACAACUGCCGGCGACCGGCGCACGGGUGAGUAACACGUAUGUAACCUGCCCUCUGCAGGGGGAUAAGCGGAAGAAAUUCCGUCUAAUACCGCAUAAUACAAUUUGGAGACAUCUCCGGGUUGUCAAAGGAGUGAUCCGGCAGAGGAUGGACAUGCGGCGCAUUAGCUAGUCGGCGGGGUAACGGCCCACCGAGGCUACGAUGCGUAGGGGUUCUGAGAGGAAGGUCCCCCACACUGGUACUGAGACACGGACCAGACUCCUACGGGAGGCAGCAGUGAGGAAUAUUGGUCAAUGGGCGCGAGCCUGAACCAGCCAAGUCGCGUGAGGGAAGACGGUCCUAUGGAUUGUAAACCUCUUUUGUCGGGGAGCAAAAGACGCCACGUGUGGCGUUCCGAGAGUACCCGAAGAAAAAGCAUCGGCUAACUCCGUGCCAGCAGCCGCGGUAAUACGGAGGAUGCGAGCGUUAUCCGGAUUUAUUGGGUUUAAAGGGUGCGCAGGCGGAAGAUCAAGUCAGCGGUAAAAUUGAGAGGCUCAACCUCUUCGAGCCGUUGAAACUGGUUUUCUUGAGUGAGCGAGAAGUAUGCGGAAUGCGUGGUGUAGCGGUGAAAUGCAUAGAUAUCACGCAGAACUCCGAUUGCGAAGGCAGCAUACCGGCGCUCAACUGACGCUCAUGCACGAAAGUGUGGGUAUCGAACAGGAUUAGAUACCCUGGUAGUCCACACAGUAAACGAUGAAUACUAAUUGUUCGGGGAGAAUGAUCCCUGAGUGAUACAGCGAAAGCGUUAAGUAUU